Molecule: non-coding RNA, 795 nt
Organism: Paramisgurnus dabryanus
Lineage: Eukaryota; Metazoa; Chordata; Actinopteri; Cypriniformes; Cobitidae
Source: RefSeq, a predicted model, not a curated record
GAGCACCAAUUAUGCUAAUAAAUUGGCACGUUAGCACGUUAUUGCAAUAUCCCAUAGUACAUACAUGUUAUUAAAACUUGAACUAAUGCAUUGUGAGUCUUAUAAAUUGCUUACAUACCUCACCGAUUUCCCACUGUCUGGAAAACGCUCGGUUUAGUUCCUGUCUCCGCCUCCCAAAAUGUCUAGUGUAAUCGGAUUGGUCAGAUGACUACUCAACUGUUAUUGGUCAGCUGGGUUCGGCGUGUGUUUGAAAGGUUACGCCCCUGACUUCGCGUGGGUUGACACAGAUUCUGACUGAGAGUCACAGCCUCAGAGGCAACGUAAACAAGCGUUAUAUUUCUCUAUAAACGAUGGUGUCUGUACUGCCUUACCACUUCGAGCUCGAUCCAGAGAGUUCAGAAGGCCGUUACGAUAUAAACGAUCUCCGUCAAUGAAUGCGAUUGGAUUUAACUUUUUUAGGUGUCCUUAGCUCUGCCAGAAUGCUAAACGAAGACGAAAAUGUGUUGCAAAGACAUCCAAAAGGUUUUAAGGAGAAUGCAACAUGUUCCAGGGCCUCUUACCUGCGUGAUUCAUCAUCCAGGUUUUGCACAAAUUGUCUAAAUCCCUACACACAGAACAUUUAUUGUACCGACUAUAAGCCUUUGAGGUGCAGGACUAGAAUACGCUUGGAGCUUCCCGAUCGGAAUGUUGGCUUCCGACGACCCCUGCACUGAAGAUGGCAUGCAAUCACGUCCUCCUUUGAAGGUCUCUCAAACUGUGAUGCCAGGUCCAUUGGAAUCGGGGUUUCCUUCAGCU